ACCUGGCUGCCUCAGUUGGUAGAGCAUGCGACUUGUGAUCUCAGGGUCAUGAGUUCAAACCCCAUGGUGGGUG
Molecule: transfer RNA, 73 nt
Filed under: Felis catus (domestic cat)
Lineage: Eukaryota; Metazoa; Chordata; Mammalia; Carnivora; Felidae
Rfam family: tRNA
About the family: Transfer RNA (tRNA) molecules are approximately 80 nucleotides in length. Their secondary structure includes four short double-helical elements and three loops (D, anti-codon, and T loops).
Source: Rfam by way of RNAcentral